GAAACACGGACCAAGGAGUCUAGCAUGUGCGCGAGUCAUUGGGAAUAACUAAACCUAAAGGCGCAAUGAAAGUGAAGGUUCGUCUCGCGCGAACCGAGGGAAGAUGGGCGUGCCGUGUUCACCGCGGCCGCCCCGCACUCCCGGGGCGUCUCGUUCUCAUCGCGAGAAGAGGCGCACCAAGAGCGUACACGCUGGGACCCGAAAGAUGGUGAACUAUGCCUGGUCAGGACGAAGUCAGGGGAAACCCUGAUGGAGGUCCGUAGCGAUUCUGACGUGCAAAUCGAUCGUCGGAACUGGGUAUAGGGGCGAAAGACUAAUCGAACCAUCUAGUAGCUGGUUCCCUCCGAAGUUUCCCUCAGGAUAGCUGGCGCUCGUAGCAUACGAGUCUCAUCCGGUAAAGCGAAUGAUUAGAGGCAUUGGGGUCGAAACGGCCUCAACCUAUUCUCAAACUUUAAAUGGGUGAGAUCUCCGGCUUGCUCGAACUACUGAAGCCGCGAGACACGGAUCAGAGUGCCAAGUGGGCCAUUUUUGGUAAGCAGAACUGGCGCUGUGGGAUGAACCAAACGCCGAGUUAAAGCGCCUAAAUCGACGCUUAUGGGAUACCAUGAAAGGCGUUGGUAACUUAAGACAGCAGGACGGUGGCCAUGGAAGUCGGAAUCCG
Molecule: ribosomal RNA, 661 nt
Filed under: Thriocerodes bipartitus
Lineage: Eukaryota; Metazoa; Arthropoda; Insecta; Coleoptera; Cleridae
Description: eukaryotic LSU rRNA
Rfam family: Eukaryotic large subunit ribosomal RNA
Source: RNAcentral